GCGGGUGUCGUAUAAUGGCUAUUACCUUAGCCUUCCAAGCUAAAGACGUGGGUUCGAUUCCCAUCACCCGCUCCA
This 75-nucleotide transfer RNA is filed under the name Haploplasma axanthum. RNAcentral's name for it is "Acholeplasma axanthum tRNA-Gly(tcc)". It matches the Rfam family "tRNA". Rfam says of the family: Transfer RNA (tRNA) molecules are approximately 80 nucleotides in length. Lineage: Bacteria; Bacillati; Mycoplasmatota; Mollicutes; Acholeplasmatales; Acholeplasmataceae. The record is from RNAcentral. RNAcentral also lists the same sequence under 3 other names.